Molecule: ribosomal RNA, 230 nt
Filed under: uncultured bacterium
Lineage: Bacteria
Description: partial 16S ribosomal RNA
Rfam family: Bacterial small subunit ribosomal RNA
Source: RNAcentral
CCCAAAAAACGACAGUCUCAGUUCGGAUUGAAGGCUGAAAUUCGCCUUCAUGAAGCCGGAAUUGCUAGUAAUGGCAGGUCAGCAUACUGCCGUGAAUACGUUCCCGGGCCUUGUACACACCGCCCGUCACACCAUGAGAGUUGGGGAUACCCGAAGCCUGUGAGCUAACAGUAAUGAAGCAGCAGUCGAAGGUAGAAUCAAUGAUUGGGGUGAAGUCGUAACAAGGUAUC